RNAcentral lists this ribosomal RNA (253 nucleotides) under uncultured prokaryote. RNAcentral describes it as "partial 16S ribosomal RNA". It matches the Rfam family "Bacterial small subunit ribosomal RNA", at positions 524 to 776 of the family's 1533-position model. The record is from RNAcentral.
UACAGAGGGUGCGAGCGUUGUUCGGAAUUAUUGGGCGUAAAGGGCGCGUAGGCGGUGCCACAAGUCACUUGUGAAAUCCCCGGGCUUAACUCGGGGCCUGCAGGCGAAACUGUGGUGCUGGAGUGUGGGAGAGGUGCGUGGAAUUCCCGGUGUAGCGGUGAAAUGCGCAGAUAUCAGGAAGAACACCCGUGGCUAAGGCGGCUCUCUAGUACGGUACUGACGCUGAGACGCGAAAGCGUGGGGAGCGAGCAGG